Molecule: ribosomal RNA, 477 nt
Filed under: uncultured Entrophospora
Lineage: Eukaryota; Fungi; Glomeromycota; Glomeromycetes; Entrophosporales; Entrophosporaceae
Description: SSU rRNA
Rfam family: Eukaryotic small subunit ribosomal RNA
Source: RNAcentral
AGCAGCCGCGGUAAUUCCAGCUCCAAUAGCGUAUAUUAAAGUUGUUGCAGUUAAAAGCUCGUAGCUGAAUUUCGGGAUUGACACAUCGGUCGUGCCUUAAGGGGUAUGAACUGGUGUAGUCAAUUUCUCACCAUUCUGGAGAACCGCGGAUGCCCUUAAUUGGGUGUCACGGGGGAAACCAGGACCUUUACUUGAAAAAUUAGAGUGUUUAAAGCAGGCAUUUUGCUUGAAUACAUUAGCAUGGAAUAAUAAAAUAGGACGGCAUGAUUCUAUUUUGUUGGUUUCUAGGAUCACCGCAAUGAUUAAUAGGGAUAGUUGGGGGCAUUAGUAUUCAAUUGUCAGAGGUGAAAAUUCUUGGAUUUAUUGAAGACUAACUACUGCGAAAAGCAUUUGCCAAGGAUGUUUUCAUUAAUCAAGAACGAAAAGUUAGGGGGAUCGAAGACGAUCAGAUACCGUCGUAGUCUUAACCAUAAAACU